Long non-coding RNA from Coregonus clupeaformis (lake whitefish), 939 nucleotides. RefSeq lists it as uncharacterized. NCBI's taxonomy places the organism in Eukaryota, Metazoa, Chordata, Actinopteri, Salmoniformes, Salmonidae. The record is from RefSeq and is a predicted model, not a curated record. The transcript is spliced from 3 exons.
GGCUGGGGCUGGAGAGGGGGAGGUGACCAGCUCUGACGACGCCCAACAGGGCAGGGCCAAAGACUUGACCGACACCUUCUGGGAGCUGCAGAAGUGGGUGGAGCUAACUGACUCGAAGGUGUUGACGUUCUCCUACAAACAUGCACUAGUGAAUAAGAUGUACGGCAGAGCCCUGAAGUACGCCUCCAAGAUCGCAGAAGACAAACCCAGUAAAGACAACUUGAAGAACUGCAUCCAGCUAAUGCGGUCCUUGGGCUGGAUGCACUGUGCCGCUUUCACAGAGAACUGGCUGCCCAUCAUGUAUCCUGCCGACUACACUCCCUUCUAGACUCACGGUUACACACACACACACACACACACACACACACAGAGUCAUGGAUUGACCUCACAAACAUAAACACACAUCUGAAAACAGUCAGCGUUUUUUUUUACCAAGUCGGACUGAAUGCCUCAACAAUCUGCCCUCUCUCUCUCUCUCUCUCAACGUGGAUGAUUUCAACCCAGCCACGUUUCAGAUCUUUCUUGUGAAACCCUCCACUUGUUGCUCAGUUGUAGAUAGAAAUGUGAUGUACAGAACGGCUUGGAUUGUUUGUUUCUGGAAUGUUUUUUGAUCUUUUUUUUACGUUACAUUUCUAUUAUUAUUUUUUCAACGUUGUGACUGUUUCACCCUCCUGAAUGAACCCCGGUUUGUAGAAAUGUAUAUUCAUGCAUCAUAAUACACAUUAUAAAGAGGCAAUAUUACUUCUCAUGCUAUUGUUCUCCCUGAUGUAUUUUAAAUGGACGGAUGUCUUUUUAGAGUAAAACCUGUUUUUGGUUUGGAAGCUGAUCAUUUGACUUCAGUUGGGGCGACAGGCAGGUAGCUUUAGUGGUUAAGAGCGUUGUGCCCCAGUAACCGAAAGGUCGCUGGUUCUAAUCCCCCCGAGCCGACUAGGUGAAAAG